RNAcentral lists this transfer RNA (73 nucleotides) under Myxococcales bacterium. Its description in RNAcentral is "tRNA-Val". It matches the Rfam family "tRNA". From Rfam's summary of the family: Transfer RNA (tRNA) molecules are approximately 80 nucleotides in length. Their secondary structure includes four short double-helical elements and three loops (D, anti-codon, and T loops). Lineage: Bacteria; Pseudomonadati; Myxococcota; Myxococcia; Myxococcales. The record is from RNAcentral.
GGGCGGGUAGCUCAGUUGGUAGAGCAGCGGUCUUACACACCGCUUGUCGCAGGUUCGAGCCCUGUCCCGCCCA